GGAAGAUGCAGUACGGCAUACAUUUUUGUGGCGCUCUCAUGUUACUGCCCCACCGAGCAGCUAAUGAUUAGCUUUACGCUUGGAGAGCAUAAAACGACCUCUGUGACGCCACCAGAUGUCAAAAUCCAGGGCUUUGUGAAAAGCCAGAACAGUGUUCUCAGCACCAGGCAGCGAGAGGAGAUGACUGAUGUUGCGGGAGAAUGCCAAACUUUGUAAGGAGAAGGCUGUCUGCGGAUGGGGUUGUGAGAGGGGCACAGUCUCAGGGCUACUGUCUGAUGGAUGACUCAUAUACGGAUGGAGACCCCGAAGAAGACAGGCAGGUUGGUGAUUCACCCUGCAAAAAAAAAAAGAAAAGAAAAGAAAAGAUAUGUGUGUAUAUAUUGGUGUGUGCGUGCCCUGUGUUCAUUUAUUCUAUGCAUGUAAAUGAAUCGGUAUGAUCUGUGCACCCCUAUACAUAUUUAGUGUACAGUAUGUAGCCUGCUGGGUGUGCUCACUUUUCUGUAAACAAGCAUAAAUUAGCAUCACAAGUGUACUGUAUAUGUGUGUGCGUGCACGUGUGCGUACAUGUGUAUGUACAGUAUAGAGGACGUGUGUCCUAUGGGUUACAGCUUGCUCUGCUUUGGGCUGUUUUUGUUUAUCUUCCUUGCAGAGGGAGAGUCGCUAUAUGCAUAAUCAAAGACACGCCACAGGGAAUUGUUGACUCCAUCAAUCCAGCGCGCAGGAGUGAGCUCCUCAUUCCACACUGCGCAGCCCCAAACUCGCGCUCUUAUCAGCCUGCUGAAACAAUACAAAACGGCAACACAAAGGCAAGCAUUGCCGGGUGCGCACGGAUGUGACUGAAGUGAUCUCAUUAUUUUCUUGUCAGAUAUGUCUACACCUUCAAGGCAGGAGAGGAACACUCUCAUCAAAGAUAUCACAGGCUGAGGGGACCGCAUUGAUAUUCCGGUGGCCACGUAUCUGCAUCUUUUUCUAUUAUUCAGAAUAUCUGAGGCUGCAAUAGCAUUACUGAAUGAUUCAAUUUGAUCAUAAAAAAAAGAAACGCUUGGAAAGUGAAAAAGAAUGAUGAAGUAAUCAAAAAAAAAAGGUGUGGGGGCGAGAUUCUUCUGACACAUUAUAAGCCUUGCGUCAAAGGCAAAGGCAUCAUUUGAGCCUGCCGGAAAUGAUUAAUAUUAGAACAAGGAGAGAUCAAUAGAAUCCCUUUGAUGUGUUAUGGCUGCACUGUGUAUCCAUCACGGCAGUUACAGGAGCGGGUCACAGAGGCCAUAAUGAGCGGCCGUCAGGUGAAUGUGGCUGCGGUCACAGCCGUCAGAGUCUAUCGUUUCACAGUGUGGUGAUUGAUCAGUGAGGCAGGAUUCUUGGCUGAUGAUGAGGCAGUUAUCUCAUGGAGAGACAUUAAUCUUCUGCCAUGAUGAGGAGGCAGUGUAGGAGCGUGUGUGGGUGUCUUUUUGAUAGGUGAACGCGGUGCUUGUUUAUUCACAUCAGCGUUGAUGAGGAUUUGUCAAGAAAAGAAAAGAGAAAAGGGAAUACUGUGCCUUGGUGUGUCCCUCACAUAUACACUCACACACUCGCUUAUUAACUCUCCCAAGGGUCACCUUGAGCUGCACAAAUUGGCUUUGGUUGGUUGAGGUCUCAGUGGUUACAAAUUAGUCAGGCACUGCAUCCCUUUGAAGGUCUGAACUCGGCGCACUCUUCUAACUCUCUCUCCAAACAUGAUGCCUUUUCUGUAGUUUUCUUUUUGCAGCGCUCUCUUGUGUUCUCUUUUUUUUGCUAUUAAUCCCCCUCUCAUUUAUCAAAUCUGUAUCUGCUUCUCAUUGUCACUUCAUCUUUGUCUCCUCUCUCCCUUUGCUCACUUGCUCACUCACCCGCUUGCUUCCUCCUCACUGACGAGUGGAGAGGAAAGUUGUCCCGCGGUAUCACUAAAUGCAGCUGCUGUUCAAAUACAGCUUCCCCUCUCCAAACCGCUAUCCUCCCUCUGCCGUUUAUGUGCAUGCACAACUGCAGCUUUACGUAUCGUCACAGUGAAUAAGCUUGUUUGCGCGGCUGACACGCAGGAAAUUUGGAAAGUGCUUUCAUUUAGGAAGAAUGAUACUGCUGUCUCACCAAAGUAACUGAGACCAUUAAUUUCCUGCAGGCUACGCUGUCUGUGGAAACAAGCACUUGUUUAGUAACUGCCAUCAGCAUACAUCCAUAUAUCCACAUGGAAACCUGGGAGUGUUGGAAUAAUGUAAAGUGUAAGUGCUGCAGUUAAAUGGUACUUUAUGCAUGACAAUGAGUAUUAAUUACAGCGAGAGAGUAUUAUUUAAACAGAUUAUAGAUUUUGGCUUUGGUACUUUAAUUAACAGCUUUGUUUACAUUCUGUUCUCGUCAAUGCAGUAUUCUGUAUUCUGUGUGUAAUCUGGACUUGGUCCAUUUUAUCGAUCGCAUUUCCACAGUUCUCUAAGAACUCCUCCUUUGUUCUCUGUAUUUGCACAUUUGGAUAUUGAGCCGCUUAGUGCACGUUUUCCCGUUUCACCUCUACAAUGUCACUUCCUAUGCCGCUCAAAAUUAAAUAUGGGCCAUUUAGUGACCUAUUAGUCCGGCACAGUGCACAAACAUACAGCACUUAAUC
Solea senegalensis (Senegalese sole) is the source of this 2608-nucleotide long non-coding RNA. RefSeq lists it as uncharacterized. Lineage: Eukaryota; Metazoa; Chordata; Actinopteri; Pleuronectiformes; Soleidae. The transcript has 3 exons. The record is from RefSeq and is a predicted model, not a curated record.